This 519-nucleotide ribosomal RNA is filed under the name Halomonas sp. HZBC3. RNAcentral's name for it is "bacterial SSU rRNA". It matches the Rfam family "Bacterial small subunit ribosomal RNA", at positions 404 to 915 of the family's 1533-position model. Lineage: Bacteria; Pseudomonadati; Pseudomonadota; Gammaproteobacteria; Oceanospirillales; Halomonadaceae. The record is from RNAcentral.
UGUGAAGAAGGCCCUCGGGUUGUAAAGCACUUUCAGCGAGGAAGAACGCCUAGCGGUUAAUACCCGCUAGGAAAGACAUCACUCGCAGAAGAAGCACCGGCUAACUCCGUGCCAGCAGCCGCGGUAAUACGGAGGGUGCAAGCGUUAAUCGGAAUUACUGGGCGUAAAGCGCGCGUAGGUGGCUUGAUAAGCCGGUUGUGAAAGCCCCGGGCUCAACCUGGGAACGGCAUCCGGAACUGUCAAGCUAGAGUGCAGGAGAGGAAGGUAGAAUUCCCGGUGUAGCGGUGAAAUGCGUAGAGAUCGGGAGGAAUACCAGUGGCGAAGGCGGCCUUCUGGACUGACACUGACACUGAGGUGCGAAAGCGUGGGUAGCAAACAGGAUUAGAUACCCUGGUAGUCCACGCCGUAAACGAUGUCGACCAGCCGUUGGGUGCCUAGCGCACUUUGUGGCGAAGUUAACGCGAUAAGUCGACCGCCUGGGGAGUACGGCCGCAAGGUUAGAACUCGGAUGAAUUGACG